GCGAGAGUAGUUCAUCGGUAGAACGUCUCCUUGCCAAGGAGAAGGUAGCGGGUUCAAUUCCCGUCUCUCGCUCCA
RNAcentral lists this transfer RNA (75 nucleotides) under Candidatus Berkelbacteria bacterium CG2_30_43_20. RNAcentral describes it as "tRNA-Gly". It matches the Rfam family "tRNA". From Rfam's summary of the family: Transfer RNA (tRNA) molecules are approximately 80 nucleotides in length. Their secondary structure includes four short double-helical elements and three loops (D, anti-codon, and T loops). Lineage: Bacteria; Candidatus Berkelbacteria. The record is from RNAcentral. RNAcentral also lists the same sequence under 1 other name.